GUUAAUCGUACUAUAUAUAACAUUAUUUUAAAAUUUCAAAAAGUUUAUCACAUACAAAAAACCAUCAAUAAAAAAUAUAAUUCUCCAUCUACAACAAGAAAAAUGAAAAACUAUAAACAUAUAAAUUUAAAUUAAGAAAAACUAACAUUGAAAAGACAAGAAGUUAAUGUAAAAGAAAAAACCGACAAAUAAUAUUAUAAAUAAUAUAAAUUUAUAAGACACAAUCCGCGCGAAGCGCGGAAAAAAUCUCUAGUAUUUAUAAGUACAAGAUUGAAAUUUGUUCUUCCUAUCCAUGAUAGAAAAGAGGAGAAUAAACACCAAACACCAA
RNAcentral lists this long non-coding RNA (328 nucleotides) under Brassica rapa (field mustard). RNAcentral describes it as "long non-coding RNA (BRAP_LNC007424)". Lineage: Eukaryota; Viridiplantae; Streptophyta; Magnoliopsida; Brassicales; Brassicaceae. The record is from RNAcentral.